UAUGUGAUCGUCUCUCGCAUAUCAAUAAGCGGAGGAAAAGAAACUAACAAGGAUUCCCCUAGUAACGGCGAGUGAAGCGGGAAGAGCUCAAAUUUGAAAUCUUAAAGGGUUUCCCUUUACGAAUUGUAGUUUAAAGAAGUGUUUUCUGUUGAGGUUUUGGUAAAAGUUCUUUGGAAUAGGACAUCAUAGAGGGUGAGAAUCCCGUAUUUGACCUUUACUUUCAACUUUGUGAUACACUUUCAAAGAGUCGGAUUGUUUGGGAAUGCAGUCCAAAAUGGGUGGUAAAUUUCAUCUAAAGCUAAAUAUUGGCGAGAGACCGAUAGCGAACAAGUACCGUGAGGGAAAGAUGAAAAGGACUUUGAAAAGAGAGUUAAACAGUACGUGAAGUUGUCAAAAGGGAAGCGUUUGACACCAGUGUUGUUUUUCUGAAAAUCAAUUAAAGAACUGUUUAUGCUAAGUUGUUUAGACUUUAUCAGCUAUCUGUUUAGUUUUGAGCUUUUCUUUAAUGCACUUUUCAGUUAACAAGUCAACAUCAAUUUCUUUUGCUGUAAAAAAGCUUGAGGAAGGUGGCUUGAGAUUCGUCUUAAGUGUUUAUAGCCUCUUGCCUAUGCAGUCGGAGAGAUUGAGGUCUGCAGCGUAGAUCCUUCGGGGCUAAAUGCAUUUGUGCUAAGUUAUAGCAUUUUAUAGACAACUUGUUGACUAUGAUUUGUCUUGUAGCUUACUCGCUUAUGUUAUUUUACCUACGCUUAGGAUGUUGAAGACUCUACAGAGAU
RNAcentral lists this ribosomal RNA (773 nucleotides) under uncultured Neocallimastigales. RNAcentral describes it as "partial large subunit ribosomal RNA". It matches the Rfam family "Eukaryotic large subunit ribosomal RNA", at positions 24 to 632 of the family's 3401-position model. The record is from RNAcentral. Lineage: Eukaryota; Fungi; Neocallimastigomycota; Neocallimastigomycetes; Neocallimastigales.